AACGCGAAGAACCUUACCCAGGCUCGAACGGUACGCGACGGCGGCAGAGAUGUCGUUUUCCUUCGGGACGCGUAUCGAGGUGCUGCAUGGUUGUCGUCAGCUCGUGCCGUGAGGUGUCGGCUUAAGUGCCACAACGAGCGCAACCCUUGUUGACAGUUGCCAUCGGGUAAAGCCGGGGACUCUGUCGAGACUGCCACCGUAAGGUGUGAGGAAGGGGGGGAUGACGUCAGAUCAGCACGGCCCUUAUGUCUGGGGCGACACACGUGUUACAAUGGUGAGUACAGAGGGUCGCUACCUGGCGACAGGAUGCCAAUCUCGAAAACUCAUCUCAGUUCGGAUCGGAGUCUGCAACUCGACUCCGUGAAGUUGGAUUCGCUAGUAAUCGCGCAUCAGCCAUGGCGCGGUGAAUACGUUCCCGGGUCUUGUACACACCG
RNAcentral lists this ribosomal RNA (434 nucleotides) under uncultured Paludibacter sp. RNAcentral's name for it is "bacterial SSU rRNA". It matches the Rfam family "Bacterial small subunit ribosomal RNA", at positions 958 to 1392 of the family's 1533-position model. The record is from RNAcentral. Lineage: Bacteria; Pseudomonadati; Bacteroidota; Bacteroidia; Bacteroidales; Paludibacteraceae.